GAUGAACGCUGGCGGCGUGCUUAACACAUGCAAGUCGAACGAAGCACUUUAUUUGAUUUCCUUCGGGACUGAUUAUUUUGUGACUGAAUGGCGGACGGGUGAGUAACGCGUGGGUAACCUGCCUUGUACAGGGGGAUAACAGUUGGAAACGGCUGCUAAUACCGCAUAAGCGCACAGCAUCGCAUGAUGCAGUGUGAAAAACUCCGGUGGUAUAAGAUGGACCCGCGUUGGAUUAGCUAGUUGGUGAGGUAACGGCCCACCAAGGCGACGAUCCAUAGCCGACCUGAGAGGGUGACCGGCCACAUUGGGACUGAGACACGGCCCAAACUCCUACGGGAGGCAGCAGUGGGGAAUAUUGCACAAUGGGCGAAAGCCUGAUGCAGCGACGCCGCGUGAGCGAAGAAGUAUUUCGGUAUGUAAAGCUCUAUCAGAAGGGAAGAUAAUGACGGUAACUGACUAAGAAGCACCGGCUAAAUACGUG
Molecule: ribosomal RNA, 481 nt
Filed under: uncultured bacterium
Lineage: Bacteria
Description: partial 16S ribosomal RNA
Rfam family: Bacterial small subunit ribosomal RNA
Source: RNAcentral